AACUGCUUUUAUACAGGGAUAAAGUGGAGGGACGUGUCCCUUUUUGUAGGUACUGUAUGAUAGGACCGGCUAAUCCGUGCCAGCAGCCGCGGUAAUACGGAAGGUCCCGGGCGUUAUCCGGGAUUUAUUGGGUUUAAAGGGAGCGCAGGCUGAUGAUUAAGCGUGACGUGAAAUGUAGCCGCUCAACGGCUGAACUGCGUCGCGAACUGGUUAUCUUGAGUGAGUUCGAUGUUGGCGGAAUUCGUGGUGUAGCGGUGAAAUGCUUAGAUAUCACGAAGAACUCCGAUUGCGAAGGCAGCCAACAAGGCCUUUACUGACGCUAAAGCUCGAAGGUGCGGGUAUCGAACAGGAUUAGAUACCCUGGUAGUCCGCACGGUAAACGAUGGAUGCCCGCUGUUUGCGAUAUACUGUGAGCGGCCAAGAGAAAUCGUUAAGCAUCCCACCUGGGGAGUACGCCGGCAACGGUGAAACUCAAAGGAAUUGACGGGGGCCCGCACAAGCGGAGGAACAUGUGGUUUAAUUCGAUGAUACGCGAGGAACCUUACCCGGGCUUGAACUGCAGGAGAACGAUACAGAGAUGUUGAGGCCCUUCGGGGCUCCUGUGGAGGUGCUGCAUGGUUGUCGUCAGCUCGUGCCGUGAGGUGUCGGCUUAAGUGCCAUAACGAGCGCAACCCUUUUCAUUAGCUGCCAUCAGGUAAUGCUGGGCACUCUGGUGAUACUGCCACCGUAAGGUGUGAGGAAGGUGGGGAUGACGUCAAAUCAGCACGGCCCUUACGUCCGGGGCUACACACGUGUUACAAUGGGGGGUACAGAAGGCGGGAUCAAUGCAAAUUGGUUCAAAUCUUAAAAGCCCUCCUCAGUUCGGAUUGGGGUCUGCAACCCGACCCCAUGAAGCUGGAUUCGCUAGUAAUCGCGCAUCAGCCAUGGCGCGGUGAAUACGUUCCCGGGCCUUGUACACACCGCCCGUCAAGCCAUGAAAGCCGGGGGCGCUUGAAGUCCGUGACCGCAAGGAUCGGCCUAGAGCGAAACUGGUAAUUGGGGCUAAGUCGUAACAAGGUAAAUCACUGGCCGUCGUAAUCCAC
This 1082-nucleotide ribosomal RNA is filed under the name uncultured bacterium. RNAcentral describes it as "bacterial SSU rRNA". It matches the Rfam family "Bacterial small subunit ribosomal RNA", at positions 428 to 1533 of the family's 1533-position model. The record is from RNAcentral.